Molecule: ribosomal RNA, 791 nt
Filed under: uncultured archaeon
Lineage: Archaea
Description: bacterial SSU rRNA
Rfam family: Archaeal small subunit ribosomal RNA
Source: RNAcentral
ACGGCUCAGUAACACGUGGACAACCUACCCUUAGGCCUGGGAUAAACCUGGGAAACUGGGUAUAAUACCGGAUAGGUCUCGGAUGCUGGAAUGCAUCGAGGCUGAAAGCUCCGGCGCCUAAGGAUGGGUCUGCGGCCUAUCAGGGUAGUAGUGGGUGUAAUGUACCUACUAGCCUACGACGGGUACGGGUCGUGAGAGCGAGAGCCCGGAGAUGGAUUCUGAGACACGAAUCCAGGCCCUACGGGGUGCAGCAGGCGCGAAAACUUUACAAUGCUGGAAACAGCGAUAGGGGGACUUUGAGUGCCAGGAUACAAUUCUGGCUGUCGUCGUGCCUAAAAAGCACGGCAUAGCAAGGGCCGGGCAAGACCGGUGCCAGCCGCCGCGGUAACACCGGCGGCUCGAGUGGUAACCGCUAUUAUUGGGUCUAAAGGGUCUGUAGCCGGCUGAAAAAGUCUCUUGGGAAAUCUGGCUGCUCAACAGUCAGGCUUUCAGGAGAUACUCUUCGGCUCGAGACCGGGAGAGGUGAGAGGUACUUCAUGGGUAGGGGUGAAAUCUUGUAAUCCUUGAAGGACCACCAGUGGCGAAGGCGUCUCACCAGAACGGAUCUGACGGCAAGGGACGAAAGCUAGGGGCACGAACCGGAUUAGAUACCCGGGUAGUCCUAGCCGUAAACGAUACUCGCUAGGUGUCGGCCACGGUGCGACCGUGGUCGGUGCCGUAGGGAAGCCGUGAAGCGAGCCACCUGGGAAGUACGGCCGCAAGGCUGAAACUUAAAGGAAUUGGCGGGGGAG